RNAcentral lists this ribosomal RNA (543 nucleotides) under Phenoliferia psychrophenolica. RNAcentral's name for it is "partial large subunit ribosomal RNA". It matches the Rfam family "Eukaryotic large subunit ribosomal RNA", at positions 1 to 561 of the family's 3401-position model. The record is from RNAcentral. Lineage: Eukaryota; Fungi; Basidiomycota; Microbotryomycetes; Kriegeriales; Kriegeriaceae.
UCAGAUCAGGCAGGAUUACCCGCUGAACUUAAGCAUAUCAAUAAGCGGAGGAAAAGAAACUAACAAGGAUUCCCCUAGUAACGGCGAGUGAAGCGGGAAGAGCUCAAAUUUGUAAUCUGGCACCUUCGGUGUCCGAGUUGUAAUCUCGAGAAGUGUUUUCCGCGCCGGACCGCAUACAAGUCUGUUGGAAUACAGCGUCAUAGUGGUGAGAACCCCGUAACUGAUGCGGAUGCCCGGUGCUUUGUGAUACACUUUCGAAGAGUCGAGUUGUUUGGGAAUGCAGCUCAAAUUGGGUGGUAAAUUCCAUCUAAAGCUAAAUAUUGGCGAGAGACCGAUAGCGAACAAGUACCGUGAGGGAAAGAUGAAAAGCACUUUGGAAAGAGAGUUAACAGUACGUGAAAUUGUUGGAAGGGAAACGCUUGAAGUCAGACUUGCUAUUUGGAAUUCAGCCGCAAGGUGUACUUUUCAAUUCGCAGGCCAGCAUCAGUUUUCGGGGGUGGAAAAGGGUAAAGAGAAGGUAGCAAUUUCGGUUGUGUUAUAGCU